This 440-nucleotide ribosomal RNA is filed under the name uncultured bacterium. Its description in RNAcentral is "partial 16S ribosomal RNA". It matches the Rfam family "Bacterial small subunit ribosomal RNA", at positions 338 to 795 of the family's 1533-position model. The record is from RNAcentral.
CCUACGGGAGGCAGCAGUGGGGAAUAUUGCACAAUGGGGGAAACCCUGAUGCAGCGACGCCGCGUGAGUGAAGAAGUAUUUCGUUACGUAAAGCUCUAUCAGCAGGGAAGAAAAUGACGGUACCUGACUAAGAAGCCCCGGCUAACUACGUGCCAGCAGCCGCGGUAAUACGUAGGGGGCAAGCGUUAUCCGGAUUUACUGGGUGUAAAGGGAGCGUAGACGGCAGCGCAAGUCUGAAGUGAAAGGCGGGGGCUGAACCCUGGGACUGCUUUGGAAACUGUACGGCUGGAGUGCAGGAGAGGUAAGCGGAAUUCCUAGUGUAGCGGUGAAAUGCGUAGAUAUGAGGAGGAACACCAGUGGCGAAGGCGGCUUACUGGACUGUAACUGACGUUGAGGCUCGAAAGCGUGGGGAGCAAACAGGAUUAGAUACCCCUGUAGUC